Molecule: ribosomal RNA, 122 nt
Filed under: Diaphorina citri (Asian citrus psyllid)
Lineage: Eukaryota; Metazoa; Arthropoda; Insecta; Hemiptera; Psyllidae
Source: RNAcentral
GCUAGUAGUGAUAGCAAGUUAAAAUAAUGGACUAGUUCCUAAUGGUUCACAGGAGUUAAGCAACAUUGCGCGUAGUUGGUAUCCGGACGGGUGACCAUCUGGGCAAUUGCGUGCUGCUGUCU